Molecule: long non-coding RNA, 1706 nt
Organism: Panicum virgatum (switchgrass)
Lineage: Eukaryota; Viridiplantae; Streptophyta; Magnoliopsida; Poales; Poaceae
Exons: 2
Source: RefSeq, a predicted model, not a curated record
CGGCGCCUUUGUGCCGUCCCCGUCACGCCGUUGUCCUGCCGCCGCGAGUGGAGGCGGGUCCCUGGUGGCGACAAUGGCGAGCAGGAGGACGGGCAUGCCUCCAGCCCGAGCACGGAUUCCCUGUUGCCGUCUACCCACCCGUCCACAGCCGUCCUCCACCGCAAUGGAUGCCCCUAUUCGCCGCCGCAAAAAGGGUCCCCAUCCGCCCGCGCGAGGAGGCCGGUCUGCUGCGCGCCGCCAUCCACAUGCGCCAAGUCCACCGUUGUUCACGCCUCCCCCAAGCCGCCGCGGUCUUAUCGCGCCCGCCGCCACCUUCCCUAGGCGUUCCAACGCGCCUCCCACCGCAGCUUCAAAUGCCUCUGCCUCCUUCUACCUCCACCACUCACGACCCUGCUGCCAACGGACGAGCUGAAGUAGGUGGCUGGGAGGAGGGUGCGCGCCCGGAGCCGGCGAUCGAGCUGUGGGUGCUCCACCCCAAUAGCCUCGGUCUGGUCGGCAGACCUUCGGUGGCAUGUGAACUGCAGGAACAAGGAUCCACGCGAACCAACUCCAGCCAGCAAUAGGUCGGUGUUACCCCCUCCGGCCCUCCCCCGCUCGAACGGGAUCCACGUGGACCCAUCUCUGGUAACAAAUCGGCAACGCGCCCAUCGCCCCCAUCCAUGAUCCAUCCAUCCAUCCAUCCAUCCAUCCAUCCAUCAGGGCGCUUCCACUUCUCUGCCUGUAAGUUCGUGAACUCCCUGCAACCCUACGUCAACAUCGACAACACAGAUGCAUCUUGGUCAACCCCGAGGACAUUCUUGCAAUACCUAACAGUUUGUUUUGUUGAAAGGAGUGGAUUGAGAAGGUGAGAAAUAGCCGGCACUUGCCCAGGCACCUGCAACUGUGAUGGUGCAGGGAGGAUUGUGGGGGCGUGCCAAUGCAGGUCUACUCUCCUUAGCAACUGAAUGUUUGGUUCGAUGUUCCUACUACCAUGUGUGUGUUUCUUUCUUGCCUCUUUAUUAUGAAGUUUGCUGUUACUGUAUGAAAUAUGAGACAACUCAGAUAUGGAUUGCAAUAUAUUGAUUGAUUGGGCCUCAAACGAUGCAUGUAGAGAGUAGUUUUUUUUGUAUCAUGUCACAUUAGCAUGCCGCUGUUGCACAUCAUCUCAAAUGCAUACUGUCCUUUUAUCCUGCUGUAAGCCUGUAACUGAUACUCCUAUGUAUUUGACUCCAUCUGAACUUAUGUGUUAUACGAUUGCUUCAUGUAUUCUUUUGGCUUAUAGAAAAGAGGUUGCCCUUUGCAUUAUAUAUCUGCUUUUUGCUUCAUGUUACUUAUAGACAAUAUGCAAAAAAGUUGAUAUGGUUGAAGAGCCUAUGGGUAUAACAGGCUGGUAGUAACCAUAUUCUCAACCAUGCAUGUAGGACUCCAUAAAGAAACUGAUGCCGGGAUGCCUAGAGCAUUAUGUGUUUUUAGAUUGAAAGCUUGCCACCAUGCUUUGAGAUGCUUCUAGAGAAUUACAAGAUUUCUAUAGGUGUUCAACUGAACCCCGCGUAGAUGCUUGUGGUAGUCAAUCUAUUGGGAGUCAUGGUGAGUUGUGGAAUGAUGCUUAUAAUAAUUCUCUGAUAUCAGGUUUGUUACUGAUAAGUGAUAGUUUUUUUUCUAUAUUUUUGCUGUAACAAUUGUUCAGAGUGGUCUCCUAACAAAUAUAAGUGUGUCAUGUAGGUUCA